GGUGAAGGCUAUUUCAGAUAUGGUAGAGCACCUUGUGCCCAGGCCCUUCUUUUCCUGACACGCACGUGAGUAAAUGAUAUUCUCCUUAUCAUGAUAACAUUCCUAUUUCUUACGUGCUUGCAACUUGCCAUGGCGUUUUAUACUUUAUAUGGCUUUACAGAAGAUAGUGGGAUAGUGAAAUAUCUUAAAUAAUAGCGGGUUUUAUUCAAACAUCAUUUCAAAGAUAAAGAUGACUAAGGUGACUAGGAAGAGUCCUUUCAGUUUAUGGUGGGCAAUAAAAGUGAGGAUUCCUUGUUGUAGGAUGAUUUUCAGAGUCAAUACAUAAUAUGUGCCAUCACUCAUUGACUUUCCUUGCACAAACUGUGAUGCAUACCAGCAAACAAAAACACCACAACUUGAAGUAUCUUGUUGAAGAGUAUG
This is a long non-coding RNA of Xenia sp. Carnegie-2017, 420 nucleotides long. RefSeq lists it as uncharacterized. Lineage: Eukaryota; Metazoa; Cnidaria; Anthozoa; Malacalcyonacea; Xeniidae. The record is from RefSeq and is a predicted model, not a curated record. The transcript is spliced from 3 exons.